UCUCCGUUGGUGAACCAGCGGAGGGAUCAUUAGCGAGUUUACGCACUCCAAACCCACUGUGAACAGUUCCACGUUGCUUCGGCGGGCGGCCCCUCGGGAGGGGCCAGGCUGCCCCUCGCAGGGGUGCCCGCCAGAAGACCAAACCAAAACUCGUUUUUUUAGCGGCAUUCUGAGUCUAAAAACAAACUGUUAAAACUUUCAACAACGGAUCUCUUGGUUCUGGCAUCGAUGAAGAACGCAGC
Molecule: unclassified non-coding RNA, 242 nt
Filed under: uncultured fungus
Lineage: Eukaryota; Fungi
Description: sequence contains ITS1, 5.8S rRNA gene
Rfam family: 5.8S ribosomal RNA (bases 194-242)
Source: RNAcentral